RNAcentral lists this long non-coding RNA (718 nucleotides) under Brassica rapa (field mustard). RNAcentral's name for it is "long non-coding RNA (BRAP_LNC006370)". Lineage: Eukaryota; Viridiplantae; Streptophyta; Magnoliopsida; Brassicales; Brassicaceae. The record is from RNAcentral.
AUUUAUUUUGCAAAACCAAAGGAGUUUGAACAUUUUAUACAAGUAUGUGUUAGAUGAUGGGAGUAUUAUUUUUCAAAAAAAAAAGGGUUGAGGUGUUAGUUAAAAGUUGGGAAAAAAAUGAAAUUAGAUGCGAAGCAUUAUAAAUGUUCCUUUGAGAUGAUGCCACGUGUUCCCAACGGAGGUCGACCAUCAUGUUAUACCGUUGAAACGAGGAGAAACGGAGAACAAAGUUUGAAACGUUCCUGGAGGGAAAGAAUGACGUGUCAAAGGGUGAUUGGAUGACAUAGCUGCCGUUGAUAGCAAAGUCUUCCACGUCAUCAGUCAGAAAACAAAGGAGCACAUGCUUCGUGACUUUUGCCAAUCUUCUCUUCCCACCCUAACACGCCACGUUUCUUCUACAUGUUUGCCACGUGGUUUUUCCUUAUCCACCCACCAGAAUAGUACAAAAAGAAUUGUUCUUUUUUUUUUUUGUUUAUCAAAAACAAAAUUUGUUUUGCUUAAUUGGCUAACUUCGUUUUUAUCUAAAUAGUUUUUUUUUUAAGAAAAAGGUUUAUAGUAUGUUAUCCAUUAACAAAAAGAGAAACUAGUAUUUUGUGUAGUUUCUAAUAGAAUUCACUGAUAUAUUAUUGGUUGUUGUAUGAUUUGAAGUUAUUCCACAUGUACCUGGACUAAACUCUAGUAAUUACUUUUUUUUUUUGAAAAUAACUCUAGUAAUUAC